This 378-nucleotide long non-coding RNA is filed under the name Ananas comosus (pineapple). RNAcentral's name for it is "long non-coding RNA (ACOM_LNC001886)". The record is from RNAcentral. Lineage: Eukaryota; Viridiplantae; Streptophyta; Magnoliopsida; Poales; Bromeliaceae.
UUGGAGAAAAAAAAAGUGAGCCUUAUUCUUUUUGGGUAAUAUUGUAGUAUUAAUAAUAUUUAUUAUGUUUUGAAUUGGAGGUUGCUUUUUUCUUUUAAAAAAAAAAACUUAUUUUUUGAACUGAAUUUGUUGAUUUUUUUAAUUUUUUUUUAGUUGUUCAUUUGUUCUGUUGGAUUUUUUUUGAAAAGUUGCUAAUGAAUUCUUAAUUUUUUUUUCAUUAUUAUUGCGUUAAUACUGAUUUUUUUUUUGGUUCAAAUUUGUUGAUUUUUUUGUCUUUUUUUUAUAUAUGUAUUUGCAGUCUUCUCAAGUUUUCCCUCGCUGCAGCAAUUCCAAUUGUUGACCUGUGUUACAUUCAUUUGCUGCGCGAGAUCGCUGGAA